AUCAUGGCUCAGGAUGAACGCUAGCUACAGGCUUAACACAUGCAAGUCGAGGGGCAUCAGUUUGGUUUGCUUGCAAACCAAAGCUGGCGACCGGCGCACGGGUGAGUAACACGUAUCCAACCUGCCUCAUACUCGGGGAUAGCCUUUCGAAAGAAAGAUUAAUAUCCGAUAGCAUAUAUUUCCCGCAUGGGUUUUAUAUUAAGAAUAAGUU
This 211-nucleotide ribosomal RNA is filed under the name uncultured bacterium. RNAcentral's name for it is "partial 16S ribosomal RNA". It matches the Rfam family "Bacterial small subunit ribosomal RNA", at positions 16 to 215 of the family's 1533-position model. The record is from RNAcentral.